AUCCAACCGAUGAGUCCCAAAUGGGACGAAACGCGCGUCCUGUAU
Molecule: non-coding RNA, 45 nt
Filed under: Schistosoma mattheei
Lineage: Eukaryota; Metazoa; Platyhelminthes; Trematoda; Strigeidida; Schistosomatidae
Source: RNAcentral